RNAcentral lists this ribosomal RNA (2112 nucleotides) under Salmonella enterica subsp. enterica serovar Rubislaw. RNAcentral describes it as "partial 23S ribosomal RNA". It matches the Rfam family "Bacterial large subunit ribosomal RNA", at positions 711 to 2803 of the family's 2925-position model. Lineage: Bacteria; Pseudomonadati; Pseudomonadota; Gammaproteobacteria; Enterobacterales; Enterobacteriaceae. RNAcentral also lists the same sequence under 1 other name. The record is from RNAcentral.
AGACCCGAAACCCGGUGAUCUAGCCAUGGGCAGGUUGAAGGUUGGGUAACACUAACUGGAGGACCGAACCGACUAAUGUUGAAAAAUUAGCGGAUGACCUGUGGCUGGGGGUGAAAGGCCAAUCAAACCGGGAGAUAGCUGGUUCUCCCCGAAAGCUAUUUAGGUAGCGCCUCGUGAAUUCAUCUCCGGGGGUAGAGCACUGUUUCGGCUAGGGGGCCAUCCCGGCUUACCAACCCGAUGCAAACUGCGAAUACCGGAGAAUGUUAUCACGGGAGACACACGGCGGGUGCUAACGUCCGUCGUGAAGAGGGAAACAACCCAGACCGCCAGCUAAGGUCCCAAAGUCAUGGUUAAGUGGGAAACGAUGUGGGAAGGCCCAGACAGCCAGGAUGUUGGCUUAGAAGCAGCCAUCAUUUAAAGAAAGCGUAAUAGCUCACUGGUCGAGUCGGCCUGCGCGGAAGAUGUAACGGGGCUAAACCAUGCACCGAAGCUGCGGCAGCGACACUCAGGUGUUGUUGGGUAGGGGAGCGUUCUGUAAGCCUGCGAAGGUGGCCUGUGAGGGUUGCUGGAGGUAUCAGAAGUGCGAAUGCUGACAUAAGUAACGAUAAAGCGGGUGAAAAGCCCGCUCGCCGGAAGACCAAGGGUUCCUGUCCAACGUUAAUCGGGGCAGGGUGAGUCGACCCCUAAGGCGAGGCCGAAAGGCGUAGUCGAUGGGAAACGGGUUAAUAUUCCCGUACUUGGUGUUACUGCGAAGGGGGGACGGAGAAGGCUAUGUUGGCCGGGCGACGGUUGUCCCGGUUUAAGCGUGUAGGUGUGUGUUCCAGGUAAAUCCGGUUCACUUUAACACUGAGGCGUGACGACGAGGCACUACGGUGCUGAAGCAACAAAUGCCCUGCUUCCAGGAAAAGCCUCUAAGCAUCAGGUAACAUCAAAUCGUACCCCAAACCGACACAGGUGGUCAGGUAGAGAAUACCAAGGCGCUUGAGAGAACUCGGGUGAAGGAACUAGGCAAAAUGGUGCCGUAACUUCGGGAGAAGGCACGCUGACACGUAGGUGAAGUGAUUUACUCACGGAGCUGAAGUCAGUCGAAGAUACCAGCUGGCUGCAACUGUUUAUUAAAAACACAGCACUGUGCAAACACGAAAGUGGACGUAUACGGUGUGACGCCUGCCCGGUGCCGGAAGGUUAAUUGAUGGGGUCAGCGCAAGCGAAGCUCCUGAUCGAAGCCCCGGUAAACGGCGGCCGUAACUAUAACGGUCCUAAGGUAGCGAAAUUCCUUGUCGGGUAAGUUCCGACCUGCACGAAUGGCGUAAUGAUGGCCAGGCUGUCUCCACCCGAGACUCAGUGAAAUUGAACUCGCUGUGAAGAUGCAGUGUACCCGCGGCAAGACGGAAAGACCCCGUGAACCUUUACUAUAGCUUGACACUGAACAUUGAGCCUUGAUGUGUAGGAUAGGUGGGAGGCUUUGAAGUGUGGACGCCAGUCUGCAUGGAGCCGACCUUGAAAUACCACCCUUUAAUGUUUGAUGUUCUAACGUGGACCCGUGAUCCGGGUUGCGGACAGUGUCUGGUGGGUAGUUUGACUGGGGCGGUCUCCUCCUAAAGAGUAACGGAGGAGCACGAAGGUUGGCUAAUCCUGGUCGGACAUCAGGAGGUUAGUGCAAUGGCAUAAGCCAGCUUGACUGCGAGCGUGACGGCGCGAGCAGGUGCGAAAGCAGGUCAUAGUGAUCCGGUGGUUCUGAAUGGAAGGGCCAUCGCUCAACGGAUAAAAGGUACUCCGGGGAUAACAGGCUGAUACCGCCCAAGAGUUCAUAUCGACGGCGGUGUUUGGCACCUCGAUGUCGGCUCAUCACAUCCUGGGGCUGAAGUAGGUCCCAAGGGUAUGGCUGUUCGCCAUUUAAAGUGGUACGCGAGCUGGGUUUAGAACGUCGUGAGACAGUUCGGUCCCUAUCUGCCGUGGGCGCUGGAGAACUGAGGGGGGCUGCUCCUAGUACGAGAGGACCGGAGUGGACGCAUCACUGGUGUUCGGGUUGUCAUGCCAAUGGCACUGCCCGGUAGCUAAAUGCGGAAGAGAUAAGUGCUGAAAGCAUCUAAGCACGAAACUUGCCCCGAG